Molecule: ribosomal RNA, 425 nt
Filed under: uncultured bacterium
Lineage: Bacteria
Description: bacterial SSU rRNA
Rfam family: Bacterial small subunit ribosomal RNA
Source: RNAcentral
GGGGAAUUUUUCGCAAUGGGGGCAACCCUGACGAAGCAAUGCCGCGUGGAUGAAGAAGGCCUUCGGGUUGUAAAGUCCUUUCGUGGAGGACGAAAAGGUGGGUGCUAAUAUCAUCUGCUGUUGACGUGAAUCCAAGAAGAAGCACCGGCUAACUCCGUGCCAGCAGCCGCGGUAAUACGGGGGGUGCAAGCGUUAAUCGGAAUCACUGGGCGUAAAGGGUGCGUAGGCGGUACAUUAGGUCUGUCGUGAAAUCCCCGGGCUCAACCUGGGAAUGGCGGUGGAAACCGGUGCACUAGAGUAUGGGAGAGGGUGGUGGAAUUCCAGGUGUAGCGGUGAAAUGCGUAGAGAUCUGGAGGAACAUCAGUGGCGAAGGCGGCCACCUGGCCCAAUACUGACGCUGAGGCACGAAAGCGUGGGGAGCAAAC